This 346-nucleotide transfer-messenger RNA is filed under the name Oscillospiraceae. RNAcentral describes it as "Lawsonibacter sp017631545 Standard tmRNA". It matches the Rfam family "transfer-messenger RNA". Rfam says of the family: Bacterial tmRNA, also known as 10Sa RNA or SsrA, is named for its dual tRNA and mRNA-like properties. RNAcentral also lists the same sequence under 1 other name. Lineage: Bacteria; Bacillati; Bacillota; Clostridia; Eubacteriales. The record is from RNAcentral.
GGGGGCGUACCGGUUUCGACGGGGACACGGAAGUGGGGAUAGCGGGCGGUGGCGCCUGGCCACCUUAAAACGGGCAUUCUUUAUAAAUUAAAGAACAACACUUACGCUUACGCUGCCUAAUUAAGGCGGCCGUCCGCCCCGGAAGGACCACGAGCCGGGAACGGGCGUCGAUUAGUGGUGCCCGUGCGUGCGCAAAGCUUUGAGCGCACCACGCAUAAUGAAGCUACCAAGUCCCUGAGUGUGACGGCUCACGCCCGGACGAGGGAAUGUAAAUAACCGUCUGCGCCCGGAGAAGUUCCCAUGGAAGGGUUUUCGGACGGGGGUUCGACUCCCCCCGCCUCCACCA